CACGUAGGGCGCGAGCGUUGUCCGGAAUUAUUGGGCGUAAAGAGCUCGUAGGCGGCCUGUUGCGUCCGCUGUGAAAGCCCGGGGCUUAACCCCGGGUCGGCAGUGGAUACGGGCAGACUAGAGUGCGGUAGGGGAGACUGGAAUUCCUGGUGUAGCGGUGAAAUGCGCAGAUAUCAGGAGGAACACCGGUGGCGAAGGCGGGUCUCUGGGCCGAUACUGACGCUGAGGAGCGAAAGCGUGGGGAGCAAACAGG
Molecule: ribosomal RNA, 253 nt
Filed under: uncultured bacterium
Lineage: Bacteria
Description: partial 16S ribosomal RNA
Rfam family: Bacterial small subunit ribosomal RNA
Source: RNAcentral